AUUGAACGCUGGCGGCAGGCCUAACACAUGCAAGUCGAGCGGAUGAAGGGAGCUUGCUCCUGGAUUCAGCGGCGGACGGGUGAGUAAUGCCUAGGAAUCUGCCUGGUAGUGGGGGAUAACGUCCGGAAACGGGCGCUAAUACCGCAUACGUCCUGAGGGAGAAAGUGGGGGAUCUUCGGACCUCACGCUAUCAGAUGAGCCUAGGUCGGAUUAGCUAGUUGGUGGGGUAAAGGCCUACCAAGGCGACGAUCCGUAACUGGUCUGAGAGGAUGAUCAGUCACAUGGGAAGUGAGACACGGUCCAGACGCCUACGAGAGGCAGCAGUGGGGAAUAUUGGGCAGUGGGCGAAAGCCUGAUCCAGCCAUGGCACGUGUGUGAAGAAGGUCUUCGGAUUGUAAAGCACUUUAAGUUGGGAGGAAGGGCAGUAAGUUAAGACCUUGCUGUUUUGACGUUACCAACAGAAUAAGCACCGGCUAACUUCGUG
RNAcentral lists this ribosomal RNA (484 nucleotides) under uncultured bacterium. Its description in RNAcentral is "partial 16S ribosomal RNA". It matches the Rfam family "Bacterial small subunit ribosomal RNA", at positions 30 to 507 of the family's 1533-position model. The record is from RNAcentral.